CUGACCGUUGCCUUCGAAACCAAGGUCAGGACCUGUGCCUUCAACUCAAAGACCUCGACCUCUGCUUUCUUUCUUUCCUCCUCUAAGAUGGCCCUCAAGUCUGUCGAGGUCUACUCCUCCUUCUGCAGCACCUCUCGGAGACUCACGACUUCGACGAUCUUCUCCUUGAGGCGGACGGCCUCGGCCAGGCGACCUUCCUCCACC
Molecule: long non-coding RNA, 204 nt
Filed under: Elaeis guineensis (African oil palm)
Lineage: Eukaryota; Viridiplantae; Streptophyta; Magnoliopsida; Arecales; Arecaceae
Description: long non-coding RNA (EGUI_LNC067395)
Source: RNAcentral